CCUACGGGUGACAGCAGUGAGGGAUAUUGGUCAAUGGGGGGAACACUGAACCAGCAACGCCGCGUGAGGGAGGACGGUAUACGGAUUGUAAACCUCUGUCCUCUAGGAAGAUAAUGACGGUAGCAGAGGACGAAGCUCCGGCUAACUACGUGCCAGCAGCCGCGGUAAUACGUAGGGAGCAGGCGUUGUCCGGAUUUACUGGGGGUAAAGGGUGCGUAGGCGGCCCUGCAAGUCAGAAGUGAAAUCCAUGGGCUUAACCCGUGAACUGCUUUUGAAACUGGAGGGCUUGAGUGAAGUAGAGGCAGGCGGAAUGCCCGGUGUAGCGGUGAAAUGCGUAGAGAUCGGGAGGAACACCAGUGGCGAAGGCGGCCUGCUGGGCUUUAACUGACGCUGAAGCACGAAAGCGUGGGUAGCAAACAGGAUUAGAUACCCGAGUAGUC
This 440-nucleotide ribosomal RNA is filed under the name uncultured bacterium. Its description in RNAcentral is "partial 16S ribosomal RNA". It matches the Rfam family "Bacterial small subunit ribosomal RNA", at positions 338 to 795 of the family's 1533-position model. The record is from RNAcentral.